CUGCGGGUAGCUUAAGGUUUAAAGCUCAGGAUUCUUACUCCUGUGAUGUCUAUAAUUUGUAGGACCCCGCAGG
This 73-nucleotide transfer RNA is filed under the name Echinoparyphium aconiatum. RNAcentral describes it as "tRNA-Lys". It matches the Rfam family "tRNA". From Rfam's summary of the family: Transfer RNA (tRNA) molecules are approximately 80 nucleotides in length. The record is from RNAcentral. Lineage: Eukaryota; Metazoa; Platyhelminthes; Trematoda; Plagiorchiida; Echinostomatidae.